Molecule: long non-coding RNA, 175 nt
Organism: Bradysia coprophila
Lineage: Eukaryota; Metazoa; Arthropoda; Insecta; Diptera; Sciaridae
Source: RefSeq, a predicted model, not a curated record
UGUCUGGCUUUACAAUUUCUAACAUAAUAUCUAUUUUGCUAACUAGUUAGUAAAUGGGCUUGUUUUGCACACUAGAUGUGAGUUUGCGCGUGUGCGCAAAACCCUAUUUACUAACGUGUUAGCAACAAGAUUUCAUCUACUGUUAGUUGAAAUAUUCAUAAUUUUCAAGCAAAAC